This 254-nucleotide ribosomal RNA is filed under the name uncultured Lactobacillus sp. RNAcentral describes it as "partial 16S ribosomal RNA". It matches the Rfam family "Bacterial small subunit ribosomal RNA", at positions 109 to 356 of the family's 1533-position model. Lineage: Bacteria; Bacillati; Bacillota; Bacilli; Lactobacillales; Lactobacillaceae. The record is from RNAcentral.
AGUAACACGUGGGGAACCUGCCCCAUAGUCUGGGAUACCACUUGGAAACAGGUGCUAAUACCGGAUAAGAAAGCGGAUCGCAUGAUCAGCUUUUAAAAGGCGGCGUAAGCUGUCGCUAUGGGAUGGCCCCGCGGUGCAUUAGCUAGUUGGUAAGGUAAAGGCUUACCAAGGCGAUGAUGCAUAGCCGAGUUGAGAGACUGAUCGGCCAAAUUGGGACUGAGACACGGCCCAAACUCCUACGGGAGGCAGCAGCG